GACGUAGGGGGCAAGCGUUGUUCGGAAUUAUUGGGCGUAAAGCGCUCGUAGGCGGGAUUGGAAGUCCGUGUUGAAAGACCUCGGCUCAACUGAGGGACCGGCUCGGAUACUCUAAUUCUUGAGGCAAUCAGAGGAUGAUGGAAUUCCCGGUGUAGCGGUGAAAUGCGUAGAGAUCCGGAGGAACACCGACGGCGAAGGCAGCGCCCUGGCCGCCAUCUGACGCUCAGGCACGAAAGCUGGGGGAGCGAACAGG
This 253-nucleotide ribosomal RNA is filed under the name uncultured bacterium. Its description in RNAcentral is "partial 16S ribosomal RNA". It matches the Rfam family "Bacterial small subunit ribosomal RNA", at positions 524 to 776 of the family's 1533-position model. The record is from RNAcentral.